Humulus lupulus (European hop) is the source of this 904-nucleotide long non-coding RNA. RefSeq lists it as uncharacterized. The transcript has 3 exons. The record is from RefSeq and is a predicted model, not a curated record. Lineage: Eukaryota; Viridiplantae; Streptophyta; Magnoliopsida; Rosales; Cannabaceae.
UUCCCAUAAUACCCUUUUAGUCUUUUCUCCCCUUCUUCCCACGAUUCCCCCCACCCUCUCUCCAUUUCUUCCUUCGAGCUUCCCCACCACCACCUUCGGGCUUCCCCUGUCUCCGGCGAGCUUCCUUACCUCCACCUUCGAGCUUCCUCUGUCUCUCACGCCAGUAAUUACUCGGCAACCGCUCAAGUUUUUAGCGAUGAUGUAGGCUCCAUCGAAUGCGACGCAAUUCUUCCCCCACGACAAAGCCAUACUCCCGAUUGUUCCAUUGACAAACUUCGGCCCCUAUAUUGAAGCAGACUGCCGUUUCUUUUUCUUCCCCAACGACAGAGUCGACUUCCAAUUUUGAAGUCAUUUUGGAAGCUUGCUUCCUUGUAGUGAGAUAUGUCUCCCAAAUCUUCCAUGAAGAAAGAUAAGAAAUCAUUAUCAAUUGUUCAUACAAAAACAAAUGAUAUGUUUCAUAAUUUAAGUGAAGAUAAAUUAGCUUUUGUCCAUUCUAACAUUCGAGCUCAAUGUUAUUGGAGUGAUAUUGGGUGCAUACACAAUUUUCUUUGUAAUGAAUAACUCCAAAAGUUGAAACAAUGCUGCUUUGGUUUUCUUUUGGAUUUGGACGCAUCACUUGAACCUUCAUAUAUGAUCAUGCAUGUAACGCUCCGCAUUUUGGGCACCGGGUAGAAUUUUGGUUGUAGGAAGUUUAAUUCUCGAGAAAUCUUAUAUUUCCAAGUAUGUGAAUACUUGUAAGGGAUAUUGUAUGUUUUGUAUGAAUGUUAUGUUAUUAAGUAUUAGUCAUUAUAUGAUAAGAUUGGUUUUCCGAUUAAACCAAGACCUUCAGUCUCGGACCGGGUCAAAAAGCCUUAACGAGUAAAAAUCUUGGAUAAAAUAUUAUGUGAGAAAAAAAUUAUGGCAA